UACGUAGGGUGCAAGCAUUAAUCGGAAUUACUGGGCGUAAAGCGUGCGCAGGCGGUGAUGUAAGACAGGUGUGAAAUCCCCGGGCUUAACCUGGGAACUGCAUUUGUGACUGCAUCGCUGGAGUGCGGCAGAGGGGGAUGGAAUUCCGCGUGUAGCAGUGAAAUGCGUAGAUAUGCGGAGGAACACCGAUGGCGAAGGCAAUCCCCUGGGCCUGCACUGACGCUCAUGCACGAAAGCGUGGGGAGCAAACAGG
This 253-nucleotide ribosomal RNA is filed under the name uncultured bacterium. RNAcentral's name for it is "partial 16S ribosomal RNA". It matches the Rfam family "Bacterial small subunit ribosomal RNA", at positions 524 to 776 of the family's 1533-position model. The record is from RNAcentral.